Molecule: long non-coding RNA, 2567 nt
Filed under: Pelobates cultripes (western spadefoot toad)
Lineage: Eukaryota; Metazoa; Chordata; Amphibia; Anura; Pelobatidae
Source: RNAcentral
CCUUAAUUUACUUUGUUUGCUAAAAUAAUAAAUUAGCAGAAUUCGAAAAAUUCUCCAAGUCAUUUUUAUUUUAUGUUCAGCUAUUUCGGCCCAUAUUUUGAAAUUCACCUUGAAUUUCAGACAAUUCUUGGUCUAAAAAAAAUCAAACCUUGUUUGCAAAAAAAUUGUUUUCAUAUAUUUCACAUAGCCCCAUCAAUGUAUCUGUCUUCCUAUUGUUUGUUAGGUAAUUUUUGGUAGUGACCUUUCUUGUUAUAUCCUUAUAGAUGCCAUUUUAGCAUCUCACUCUGCUUUGGCUGGCAAAGAUUACUGUUUUUAUGACCGUGUUAAUGCUUUGCCAGAUAUAUCUUCGUUUGGGUAAGUGAAUGUUUCCUACUAAAAUCACUUAAAUGGCAAUGCAUUGGGAAGGACCAUCAGGGAAGGCUUGACAUUUUUCAUUUAACCCCUUAAGGACCAAACUUCUGGAAUAUAAGGGAAUCAUGACGUGUCACACAUGUCAUGUGUCCUUAAGGGGUUAAACAAAGAUACCUUGCAAGUGACAACAUAAAUAACAAAAGUCAGUAUCACAGUAUCCAUAAGAAUGGCUUAAUAAAUCAAUCCAUGUAAAUAUAAUUUAAUGCACUAUAAUUAUGGAUAUGAUUAGGAACCUACUGCAAUUUACAAUAGGUCUAUAAAUUUAGCAAAGUAUGUCCUGAACCAGUAGUGUGUGAAAUCAUUAUGCAGUAUACAAAUUACCUUUCAGUUUGGUUAUUUAGCACUUAUUCACUGAUGUAUGCAAAGAAAGCAAUCUCUCAAUAUUUCCAAGGUAAAAAUCAGUGUUCAUGAAUACAGAAAUCCACUUAUGCUAAAAGUGACCUUAAAUGAACUCUCCAAGCACCAUAACCACUACAGUGCAUAUCCCCCAACACUGGCAUACAGAUAGGUGGAAUGUCACGAGGUAAAGGAGGAUUGUGUCACUGGCUCUGCUGAAAGGGGGUGGACCCAAAUUAGUGGCACACCAUGCUUCCUGUCAAUCAAGCAGACCAUCCCACUGAGGGCAGGACAAGCUCUUUUUCAGUGCUAGAGCCCUGUGUGUACUGUGAGCGUGUCUAAUGAUGCUUUUGUGCUAAACUUUUUAUGAGGCAGUUCCCUGGUGUCCUCAAAAGUGGGAACAAAGUCAGGAUGGCUGGACAGGACCUGAAAAUCAGGACUGUCCUGCUGAAAUCACAAAGGUUGGGAGGCAUGACAGGGCAAUGUAGUAGUUAAAGUGCCAGAAAUGCUAAUGGUUUGACGUCUGACUUCUUAAUUGGGGCCACACAUGUUAAUUUUCUUUGUUUGGUUUAACAAGAUAAACCACUAUCAUUUGACUUUCAAGAGCAACACCAGGUGAUUCUUGACCUUCAAGCACCCGAAGCAAAGACUUUAUAUCUCAGUUACCAUGUUGUAUUAGGGAGACACUAGUUUAGCAAGACAUAAUGAAACAGAUCUAAAUACUGGUUAAACAGAGAUGCUUGUCCCUCCUUAGGUCUCAAGGUUUACAUUAAAAACACUAUAGCGUUAGGAAUACAAACUGUACUCUUUUUCAGAUCCCCCCCACCGGGUGCAAUUCAAUACCUUUUUGAGACACCAGUGCCCCCUCAACGCUGCUUACCUCUCUCAGCUUCCUAUUCUGCAUGAUACUUAUUCAUUUACAUGUAAGUAAAUUCUUCUUAUUUAUUGGGUGGCCCAAUGAAAUCAAUUUGUGAAGUAGACCAAGGACCUUUUGGAGGUGCUAUACAUUGUAUAGGUGUUUUUUGUCCUUUAGGUCUUUAGGAUUUAUUUGUGCACAUAUCAAACACGAUUGAACUACCUGCCAUACAGUGUUUUCCAUGUUAUCCCAAUAAAACUUAUCUCUGGGUAUCUGGGUAUCUCUAACAGUUUCUGCAGUCCAAUAUGACCUAAACUUUCAUGAUUAUAUUGUGUCAAUAACAUUUUUAGAUGUUCUGGCAUGAUGGGACACAGUUCUCCGUUUUGUUCAUGACACAAAACCCCUGUUUUCAUGAACAAAUGGAGGUUUUGGAUCAACCCGAGAAGCCGUCAAGGGAAGAAUCCUUUGCCUGUUCUUCUGCAAAAGAUGGAGGCUGUGUGUUAGUCUUUCUAACCAUUGCUACUGGCAUAGGCUCUGUCAGCAAGGCCUUUUCACUAGUUAACGCUGCUCUUUUUGCAAAUUUAUUAAGUACAUCUUUACCUUUUUGGUGUAAACAUGGCUCUUGAGACACAAUUUCAAAUAUGGUCUCUAGUGUCUCUUUGUGUGCUAACACUUUUUUUGAGGCAUCUACGAAACCUCUUCUUUUCCAUUUGGCUAAAUGUUCUGUUAGCGAUCUGACCACAUAUGAACUGUCACUACAUAUCACUAGGGGACGCUCUUCUUUUGCCUCAAGUGUUAUUACUGUUUUUAAUGCUUCUAGUUCUGCUCUCUGUGCUGACAAAUGACCUGGUAAUUUAUGUUCUACUGAAUAUCCUCGUUUUGGAUACCAUAUAGCAGUGAUGGCAAAUCUUUUUGAGCCCGAGUGCCCAAACAGCAAUACAUGCCAACUUUUUUUCCCUCAAAG